RNAcentral lists this ribosomal RNA (402 nucleotides) under Actinomycetes bacterium. Its description in RNAcentral is "Actinobacteria bacterium partial 16S ribosomal RNA". It matches the Rfam family "Bacterial small subunit ribosomal RNA", at positions 355 to 776 of the family's 1533-position model. The record is from RNAcentral. Lineage: Bacteria; Bacillati; Actinomycetota; Actinomycetes.
UGGGGAAUUUUGCACAAUGGGGGCAACCCUGAUGCAGCGACGCCGCGUGAUUUAGAAGGCCUUCGGGUUGUAAAAAUCUUUUGUAUGGGAAGAAAAUGACAGUACCAUACGAAUAAGGACCGGCUAAUUACGUGCCAGCAGCCGCGGUAAUACGUAAGGUCCGAGCGUUGUCCGGAAUCAUUGGGCGUAAAGGGUACGUAAGCGGAUAAGCAAGUUAGAAGUGAAAUCCUAUAGCUCAACUAUAGUAAGCUUUUAAAACUGCUCAUCUUGAGGUAUGGAAGGGAAAGUGUAAUUCCUAGUGUGGCAGUGAAAUGCGCAGAUAUUAGGAGGAAUACCGGUGGCGAAGGCGACUUUCUGGCCAUAAACUGACGCUGAGGUACGAAAGCGUGGGUAGCAAACAGG